CCUGAGUGAGGUAACCCAGUCACAAAAAGACAAGCAUGUUUGGAAGAAAAAUUUGAGCCUCAGAAUCAGCUCUGUCCACAGACACAGCCGCCUUGCUCAGAGAUGGCAAUCACACCUGACAGAGCCUGCUGGUACAAGCCGUUCACCUACUGCUUGGGGUGGAAGCAAAAGAAUCGGAACUUGAAGAUCAUUCUUCUUGCCCCAGAUAAGUGCCAGCUUCUGGUGUUGGAAGAAUGCAGCUGACCUCAUAGACACAUUUCUGUGCGGGCAGUUAUACUUUGAAGAUGAUAAAAAGUCCAGAGAAAAUACCUCCCCUCUGUGAUAGCAAGAGGCACUUUAUGUACAAAAGGCAAUGGUUUGGAACAGAGUCAGGCUCUAGAAAGCAAGACUGUAGUUUCUCAUCAUAAACACAUUAUUCCUGUUUAAUCGAAUGAGAAUAGCGGAGAUGGGGGAGGCUUUGAAAGUGAAAUACAUGUUCCUCAUGACUUCCCUUGUGAACAGAGGCCUCAGAUCAGCCUGCAGUGGACAUCUGAAAGAUUCAUGUUGCCCCAGUGUGAUGAAUAAUGGAACACAAUGCAUAAUUGUCAGCAAGUUCUUAGAACCUUCUCAGACCCCAGCUACCAUGCAGAAUGCAUUACCUCAGGCUCCGCAGGGUCACGAGGGAGGUAACCAAGUGUCGGGACAAGUAAAUAGAGAGUAUUGUCCCAAACCCCUGUCGUUAUGGCAACCCUCUAGAAAUGCCGGGAUUUCAUCUUCGCGUCUGCUUUCCCUGAUCUGUGGGGAAAGAACAAAUGGCCUCUGCAAACAGAAACCCUGGUUAGCUUCUAACUUUACAGUCCCACUGUAGACCUGUACACAGUCGACUGUUUUUGUUUCUUUUUUUGGUGUGUCUAUAGCAA
This is a long non-coding RNA of Mesocricetus auratus (golden hamster), 899 nucleotides long. RefSeq lists it as uncharacterized. The record is from RefSeq and is a predicted model, not a curated record. NCBI's taxonomy places the organism in Eukaryota, Metazoa, Chordata, Mammalia, Rodentia, Cricetidae. The transcript has 4 exons.